CCACCACCCUCAGGGGUAGGUAGUGUAUGGUUAUGGUCCUCAUUUUAUAGGUGAGGUGAUGGAGCAAGCCUUAGUCUUGGCACCAGCAGUGGUUUCCGUUCUCAGCUCAGCCACUUGUCCUCAGCAUCGAUUUCUUCUUUCAGUUGUAAAAUGGGGAUAAGAAAGAAGCCCCAUGUCAUCACAGGGUCGUGAAACUUAAAAGCGAUGCAGUGGGACAGGCGUCUAGUAUUGUGCCUGGCAUGAGGCAGCAGGCAGAAAGCGCCGAGCCGUAGAGGUUCUUACCACUCUUGAGCAUGACACUUAAUCUCCUGGACCCUUGCUUUGGAAAAUAUAGAUGGAACCAUCUCAUACGGUGGAUGUGAGCGUUGGAGGAAAUGAGGUGUGAAAGGGCUACGUAACCAUUUGUGGCUAUUUCAUGUCUCCAUCUUCCUAUUAUUUUUUUAAAAUAUCCAUGGUAGUUAUUUAUUCCAUGCAUCACAGGCCAGGCAUCAUGCAGUAAGAAAGAUCCAUUUCUUCCUUAGAUACGAUAGGGAUGGUGCUGGGGACCCACUAUAGUUUUAGGGCCCUAGAAUAUGUUUCAUUUAAAUUUCUUUUAAAAUUAGAAGAAAUACAUGCAUAUAAUAAUUAUGAAUAUAAAAUAAGCUAUUAAAAUAAUAAAUAUGAUAAACAUAAUGAUUAAUCCAGCCUGGAAUAUAUUUGUCUUUAUGCCAGUGUAAUCUUACAACCUAAUUUUUGAGGUUGUUUGUUUGUUUAUUUGUUCGUUUUAAAUGCAGGAAGGGACCCACAAAGGCAAAAGCCUAGGGCUCACAAAAAUCAUAAAGGAGCCUUGGUUGGAGGAACUUUACAAAUGCUAGCCCAGUCAUUCUCAGGAAGGUUUUGUUUUUAAUUCUCAUUUUACAGAUGAGGGGAUCUAAGCUUUGGAAGGUUAAGAAACUCAUCCAAAGUCACGUGGCAAGUAAAACAUUAUACUAGUCCGGUUGAACUAACAGCUUUAUCAAUCACCAAAUUUUAAUAGCUUCACACCCUAGAAGGCUAUUUCCGGCUCAGACCACAAUUCAGAGUGUAUGUCUGGCACGUGGUGUUCCACACAGUGAUUCAGGGACCCAGGCUCCUCCCUCUUGUGGUUCUGUCUCCCUCUAGUCUUGGGAGCACUUUCCAUUCAGUUGGUGGACAGAGAAAAGACAGAACCACAGUGGGAGGUUUUUAGGGCCCAGAGCUCACAUCAUUUCUAUUCGAAUUCCAUUGGCCAAAAAGCUGUCACAUGACCACUUGUCACCACAAAGAAGCCUGGGAAAUGUAGUCCAGCUGCUGCCCAGGGAGGAAAAGGAGACGGUGAAUACUGGGGAGCACUCUCCACCCCUGACACGGCGACAGUGUUGGAUGCCAGCCCAGGUCUUUUGUACACAGAGUCCAUGCUCUUUCCACUCAGCUGGUUCCUGUCACUUUUAACUACCACAAAGUCCCUUUAUGGGCCCUUUUCUCCUGCCAGACUUGCCUACUCACCAUUCCUAGCACCAGACCUUUGCCUGCUCAGUCCCAGUUGCUGUAAUAGCAGUAACACUAGGAAGGGAGAUGCACCAGGAGGAAGCUCCUCCCUGCCCUGGAUUCGCUUGCUGGUUACCUUGAGAAGGCUGCCUCCAGGAGAUAUGCUCUCUGUAUCUCCCAAUCCCAGGAUCGCUGGGUGCUUCUGAGCACGUAGUGCAGCCACUGCCUCAGUGUGAGAAAGGGGGCUGCACGGAGGGUUUCAGAGGCAAGAGGAAAGAGGUUUGAGCUGGAGUCUUGGCUGGACCGUCAGCCGUGAACUAGGAAUCAGCAGGAAGGGGACAGUACCUUAUGAUCUUGCAGCACAAAAGUGCUGCAGGCCUGGUCAUUUGCCAAAAGUGACUCUUGUGGUCUGCCCUUACCCCAUCAAUGCAUGUUGUCUUUGAACCCCAUGAUCCUGAAGAACAAAGCUUCAGGAGCCAGCUGGAGGCUAGAUGGCCCGUGGGCACAGUCCAUAACCACUGGGCCAGCCCAGUGUCCCUGGAAGUGUUCCAGUAAUGCCAGAGUUGGUGGGCGUCCAGCUCCUGCAGGACCAGGCCACAGCUGUCUAUUAUAAAGCCUCCGAGUUGCUAUGGAAUAAAUUCCUCCUCCAGGAAGCCCUCAGUGAUCCCCACCUCUUCAGAACUCAAGGGCACUUGUUGCCUUUCCACCUAAGGGCCCUGCAUUUGUUUCUUACAUCUCUUUCUGUCACCCUCCCUUUAUCUGCUACUGGCCUCAGAGGCAAGAGAGCUGAGAAGGUGGCCACAGCCAAGUCAUCAGGGAUGCUUCUGAGCAUUUUGUAGGCAUCACAGACUCCACAGCAUUUAGUCAGUUCUAACAUUUCAUCCAGAGUCAUACCCAGGACCGGUUGAUCGUGUGAAGAGAAGUGGUACCCAGGUUCAUUCCUUCUUUCUCUUUGUUGAGAAAAGUACAGUUUUUUAUUUAUGUGAUGAGAAAAGCACACUAAGGAGAAAAAGAUUUCGCCUCUAGUCAUCUU
RNAcentral lists this long non-coding RNA (2518 nucleotides) under Sus scrofa (pig). Its description in RNAcentral is "lncRNA (ENSSSCG00045020229.1)". The record is from RNAcentral. Lineage: Eukaryota; Metazoa; Chordata; Mammalia; Artiodactyla; Suidae.